UACGUAGGGUGCAAGCGUUGUCCGGAAUUAUUGGGCGUAAAGAGCUCGUAGGCGGCUUGUCGCGUCGAAUGUGAAAACUCGGGGCUCAACUCCGAGCUUGCAUUCGAUACGGGCAGGCUAGAGUUCGGUAGGGGAGACUGGAAUUCCUGGUGUAGCGGUGGAAUGCGCAGAUAUCAGGAGGAACACCGAUGGCGAAGGCAGGAUCUCCUGGGCCAAUUACUGACACUGAGAAGCGAAAAGCAUGGGGGAGCGAAACAGG
This 259-nucleotide ribosomal RNA is filed under the name uncultured bacterium. RNAcentral's name for it is "partial 16S ribosomal RNA". It matches the Rfam family "Bacterial small subunit ribosomal RNA", at positions 524 to 776 of the family's 1533-position model. The record is from RNAcentral.